Molecule: ribosomal RNA, 354 nt
Filed under: uncultured bacterium
Lineage: Bacteria
Description: bacterial SSU rRNA
Rfam family: Bacterial small subunit ribosomal RNA
Source: RNAcentral
GGGCCCGCACAAGCGGUGGAGCAUGUGGUUUAAUUCGAUGCAACGCGAAGAACCUUACCAGGGUUUGACAUCCUGCGAAUCUCUUGGAAACGAGAGAGUGCCUUCGGGAACGCAGUGACAGGUGGUGCAUGGCUGUCGUCAGCUCGUGUCGUGAGAUGUUGGGUUAAGUCCCGCAACGAGCGCAACCCACGUCGUUAGUUGCCAGCAUUUAGUUGGGCACUCUAGCGAGACCGCCGGUGAUAAACCCGGAGGAAGGUGGGGAUGACGUCAAGUCCUCAUGGCCCUUACGUGUUGGGCUACACACGUGCUACAAUGGUAUCUACAACAGGAAGCAAAACUGCGAAGUUAAGCAAA